CCUACGGGUGGCAGCAGUAGGGAAUAUUGCUCAAUGGGGGAAACCCUGAAGCAGCAACGCCGCGUGGAGGAUGAAGGUUUUCGGAUUGUAAACUCCUUUUGUUAGAGAAGAUAAUGACGGUAUCUAACGAAUAAGCACCGGCUAAGUACGUGCCAGCAGCCGCGGUAAUACGGGGGGUGCAAGCGUUACCCGGAAUCGCUGGGCGUAAAGCGGGCGUAGGCGGGAUAGCCAGUCAGAUGUGAAAGCCUAGGGCUUAACCAUAGAAUUGCAUUUGAAACUGGUAUUCUAGAGUAGGGGAGAGGUAGGUGGAAUGCUUGGUGUAGGGGUGAAAUGCGUAGAGAUCAAGAAGAAUACUCAUUGCGAAGGCGGCCUGCUGGAGCAUGACUGACGCUGAUGCGCGAAAGCGUGGGGAGCGAACAGGAUUAGAUACCCUAGUAGUC
This 440-nucleotide ribosomal RNA is filed under the name uncultured bacterium. RNAcentral's name for it is "partial 16S ribosomal RNA". It matches the Rfam family "Bacterial small subunit ribosomal RNA", at positions 338 to 795 of the family's 1533-position model. The record is from RNAcentral.